GGAAGAGCUGGGAAAUGAGGCAAUUCAGUAAGAUAAGUUUUAAGAAGGAGGGAAGUUUAGGAAGAAGGUUGAAAAUCUUUGUAUAUGACAGUUGAUAUUCUCAUUUCGUAUUUGUGGGAAUUGUGGUCCAUGGAGAUUGACAUAUUCUUGUGGUCACACAAUUACUCACUGCAAAUUUGGAGAUUUUUAAAGUUAUUAGUCUGUUGCUCUUUCGGCUCUAUUGUUAAAGUACAAAUGCAAUCAUAAUCAUUACUUUAUCCAGUCCCCAGAUAUAUCUGAUUCAAUACUUUUAGGAUGAAGUUCAAAUAUGUGUUUUUCAAAGAAAAUAGAAAAAAAAAACUUUUAGGCAAUUUUCAUGUGCUCACCACAUUUACAAUAACUGUGUUGUACCAUGUAAAACUAUCCAACAUAUGGAUGUCAAAGUAUCUCAAUAUAAAUAUAUUUAAUACUCAACUUUAUUUUCAUUCUGUAUGAAAACAUUUUGUUGCUUUUUGUUGUUUCAUUUAACACAUUUGGCUCUUUUAUCCAUAGUUUUUUUUUUUUUUUUUUUUUUAGCCAUAUUCGGCUCUUUUUUCCUUUUAAAAAUCUCAAGAUUACCAUAAAAUCACAAAUAUGAUUCUCCUAUGUUAUAUGUUUGUUUGUUUUUUUCCUUUUAGGGCCACACCCUUGGCACAUUGAGUUCCCAGGCUAGUGGUCGAAUUGGAGCUGUAGCUGCUGGCUUAUGCCACAGCAGCCACAGCAAUGUGAAAAUCCGAGCUGCAUCUGCGAUCUACACCACAGCUAACAGCAAUGCCGGAUCUUUAACCCACUGAGCGAGGCCAGGAAUCAAACCUGCAUCUUAAUGGAUGCUAGUCAGAUUCAUUUCCGCUGAUGAAAUAAAAAACUUGGUCUGUAAUAAUCCCUUUAUAUUGCCCUGCAAAUGAAAGUGAAAGAAUAUUACCAAAAGCAGAAAUAAUGGAGAAAUAUAACAUUUGAGUUUAAAAAUGAAAAAUUUUGGUAAUAAAAAUUAAUCCACUGGGAAUCUGAGUUUAAGUCAGAAAUCUUCUGGUUGCAAGAAAAGAACUUCAAUUAAGUUGGCUCAUAUAAAAAAAGGAAGAUGAAAUAAAAUUGGCCUCAGUGAUAAAAGAUAUUAAAGGUAAUAAGAUAAAUUCUGCCAAGUCCUGUGUUAUGCAAACAAGAGUAGGAACUGAUGUGUGAAAGUUCCUGUCUCACCAAGGCCACAUAAUCAAUCUCAAUCUCUCUCUCCUGCUUCUUUCCAAGCCAAUUUGCUAUCUACUUCUUUCUUGCCUGUUUGUAUUGCUUUCUCAAUUCCCUCACUUUGUGAACUCUCAGCCCCAGUGCAACAUCACAAAUGUUUAGUUCCACUGUGCUCUGCCACCACAGCCCCCUAACUUAAUUUGGAAAUUUGAGAAAAACCAUGGAAAGACGGGAGCUUGAGUGUUUGUGUGAAAGAAAUGAAAUGGAAAAGGAAAGAAAGAGGGAGAGGGAAGAGACAUGAACAUGGGAGAGCCAGUCUAACAAGAAAGAAAAAGAUUCUGCUUGUUUCCUGCCCAGAUCAUGGAAUUUAGGUUGGGGGUGAUGGGUGAGUCAAUCAUAUUUUGCCAGAAAGCUAAUAGGAAUAUACAAACUAAAGCUGCCUCUUCCAGAAGCUGAGAGCAGACAGUUAACUGUAAGGGAUGGUGUAGAAUAAAACUGACUUCAAAUAAUUAGAACACUGUGCAUUACUUUUUUAGUAUUUGAGGCUUUCAUCUAUUCCUGACUUUAUAUCUAUCUAGAUCUCCACCUGUGCCUUUAUGGUAUUUUUAAACUGGUUUAUUAUAGGUGUUCUGACCUUUCCUCUUUUCAAGCUUUCACUGUUGUAUUUCUAUAAUACAUAAACUUUACUUAUAACCAGAAUCAAACCACUAUCUAGGAACAUGAGAUUGUAGCACCAGACUAUGGAGGGUUUGUCUACUUGCAUUUAUAGAUGGGAAAUCCUCAUGUACAUCAGUACUUCAAUUUUGAUAUUUUUUCAUAAGAAUUUAAGUGCAGACAAUAGUGUUAAUUAUUUUUAAAACUUUAGGCUUGUUAAAGUAGAUGAGUUAGGCUUGAUCCUUAUACUCAAGAAACAAAGUACUGGAGAAAAGAGUGAAUUAUGGAAAUAAAACUAGGCAAAUGUAAAGAAAGUUCCUUAACAGACCUUCCGAGAAAGACUAGAGAGAACAUCAAAGAGGAGAGAAAAUUUGAUACCAAGGAGAUAAUCAGAUAUCUAGAAGGGUGAACCCUUUUAGGAGCUGUCUUCAAGAAGAGUAAAAAGAAAAGAGAAAGAUUUUGGCUUUUACCAAAUCUACCUAAAAUGUUUAAAAUAGAUUCGUAGCAUGCAUUUAAGUCAUUUAGGUAGCUGAAUGGCAGCACCAGAUGGUUCUAUUACAUGACUCAUUUCUAGUUUUCUCUCUCCAUUUGCUCACAUGUUUAUGUGUGCUAUCAUCUAAAGCCUAGUUAAAAUUUUAGGGCAAUAUACAAUUAAUGGAGCUUUAUGCAUGAAAGAAGAUCAGACAUGAAGUUAAUAUUUGCCUACAGAAAGGACAUACCCUUCUAUAUUUAUCAGCUUGGGUUGUCAUAAAAAAUACCAUAGACGGGUGGCUUAAGGAACUGAAAUUUAUUUUCUCACAGUUCUGGAUAUUAGAAUACCCAGAUCAAGGACCUACCAAGUCAGUUUCUGGGAGCUUGCUUGCUGGCUUGUAGAAAAUUGUCUUCUGACUAUGUCCUCAAAACAGUCUUUUUCUUCUAAGUAUGUGUGUGGAAAGAGAAAAAGUGAGCCCCAUGUUUCUUCCUGUUAGGAUACUAAUCCUUAUGAAUUUUUUAAUAAUCAUCUCCAGAUGUAGUUAACUUGGGGGGUUAGUUAUUCAACUAACAUGGAUAUGUCAGUUAUAAAACUAACAUGAAUCCAGCUCACAUGAAGUCAUUAUGUACUCCUUGAAAGACUGAAAGUUUUCACCUCUUCUGAGAAAGAUUCCUCCUUUCCUUACCACUCCAUCACGGGAGAAAAUAAUCUUGGGUCUUUUUUCUCCUAUGAAGAAAUGGGUUUUAAAAUUAUCAUAAGUUAUUCAAGUUGUUCUCAUUCUUAGAGUGGCCGCAAUUGUCUCUUACAUCUUUCUGAAUUCUAACCCAGUAACAGAAGUGGUCUGACCGACUUUGGCAGAAUUAACAAACAAUUUCUUCAAUUUGUACGUUUCAGAUAAUUUUGAAAUAUAAAUUUAAAGAGAAUCUAACUAACACUAACACUAAACCUUUGCUCUAUGAACGUCUUUCUGUAUAUCUGAAUAUGUUCAAAAUUAGCUUACAUAUUUUAAAUAGAAUUAAAAGAAAAAUAAAAUCUUGAUAUUUUCUCAUAACACAAUAAAAACAUUUUCAAUUUCACGUUUUAAAGGAAAAUAUUUUUUAUCUUUUUUAAAGUUUUAUUGAAGUAUAGUUCAUUUACAAUGUUGUGAUAAUUUUACCUGUACAACAGAGUGAUUCUGUUAUACAUGUACACACAUCCAUUCUUUUUCAAAUUCUUUUCCCAUUAGAACAUCACAGAAUACUCGGUAGAGUUUCCUGUGCUAUACAGCAAGUCUCCGUUGGCCAAUCAUUCCAUAUAUCAACAGUAUACAUGUGUGUAGCAAAACAUCUGGGUCAAGGAUGGCUGGAUGAGGUAGACUUGAAAAUAUCAGAAAUAUGAUGGGACAUGAUAUCAAAGACCUCAUAAAAAUGUCCACGCCAUAUUGUGAAAUAUAUGCACCCUGUUACUAGCUCUUCUGCCCUUCAAUCUGUCUUUCCUUCUCAGCUUCCUUGGGCUCUCCCAGGUCUGAUAAUUCACCUUGAAACUAUGGUAUGUCACUGGAUAACUUAUCAUGGAAAAAUGGCUGGGGGAACAGUAUGCACUAUGCUUCAGAGACAGAUUCUCAGGAAUAGGGUGAUGGAGAACAAAUUACUAGAAAAUAUUAACCAGCAUUAAUAUUAAUACUAGAAAAUAUUACUGCAGAGUAGUAACAACAUUAGUUUUCCUACCUUCUCAAUAAACCUCAUAGCAUAAAUCAUCAGUGAAUAUAACUGGAACUUAGCAGAUUAGGAAAUGGUAAAAAUAAUGUUUGAUUUCCUUUUCUGAAUGUCCACUGCUAUAAAACCUCUAGAGGCCAUUAGUGACAUAAUUAAAAUAAACACUAAAUAAAAUGAUUUAAAUUACUGUCAUUUUUGACCAGGCCUAGGAAAACUUAGGAAAGGUAAUCAUUAUAAUGAUAUGAAAUAUCAUGGGAUUACAAGAAUAAGAUCCAUGCUUCCAAGUAAAUUAUUUUGAUAGAAUAUAUUCAAGCCUUUGUGAGAAGCACAAAGAAGUGAAGAAGUAUAUUUUAUGUAAAAAUAACAUAUAGGAUAUAUUUCUUAUCAGAAUAUCGGGACUACAGAUGUUAUAUUAAGGCAAAAUUAAUAUGGCUUCGUAAAAAAAAAUUCACCUUUAUUUUUUGUUUGUUUUCAUUUGUUUUUUUUUUUUUCUUUUUAUGAUGGCACUUGCAGCAUAUGCGAGUUUUCAGGCUAGGAGUUGAAUUGGAGGUGCAGCUGCAGGCCUAUGACACAGCAACAUCAGAUCAUAGCCGCGUCUAUGACCUAUGCUGCAGCUUGACGCAAUGCCAGAUCCUUAAUCUACUAAGCAAGCCCAGGGAUCAAACCGGCAUCCUCACAAGGACUAUGUCGGGCUCUUAAGCCAUUGACCUGCAAUGGGAACUCACAAAAUUCACCUUUUUGGAUGUGUGUUUGAAAUCAUAAAAUGCUAUUAAAAUGCGUAUCAGAAGAAUCACUUUGCCUGAGGGUUUACAGGAGAUCCUCCUGAGAAAGUGAUUUUUCAGGGCAAAUUGAAAGACAUAUUGUGGGCUUUUGUCUUCAUUUUUGUUUUUAUUUUGGAGCACUUCCUUGCACUCUGGUACUACCAGAUGCUCCAGGUUUAUUAUGU
This 4963-nucleotide long non-coding RNA is filed under the name Sus scrofa (pig). RNAcentral's name for it is "lncRNA (ENSSSCG00035027839.1)". Lineage: Eukaryota; Metazoa; Chordata; Mammalia; Artiodactyla; Suidae. The record is from RNAcentral.